CCUACGGGAGGCAGCAGUGAGGAAUAUUGGUCAAUGGCCGGAAGGCUGAACCAGCCAUGCCGCGUGAAGGUCAGUGCCCUCUGGGCGUUAAACUUCUUUUGUGCGGGAGCAAUAAUGGUCACGUGUGGCCAGACGAGAGUACCGUACGAAUAAGCAUCGGCUAACUCCGUGCCAGCAGCCGCGGUAAUACGGGGGAUGCAAGCGUUAUCCGGAUUUAUUGGGUUUAAAGGGUGCGUAGGUUGUGAGGUAAGUCAGCGGUGAAAUGCCCCCGCUCAACGGGGUGAAGUGCCAUUGAUACUGCCUGGCUGGAAUGCGGAUGCGGUGGGAGGAAUGUGUGGUGUAGCGGUGAAAUGCAUAGAUAUCACACAGAACACCGAUUGCGAAGGCAUCUCACGAAUCCGCGAUUGACGCUGAUGCACGAAAGCGUGGGUAUCAAACAGGAUUAGAUACCCCUGUAGUC
This 460-nucleotide ribosomal RNA is filed under the name uncultured bacterium. RNAcentral describes it as "partial 16S ribosomal RNA". It matches the Rfam family "Bacterial small subunit ribosomal RNA", at positions 338 to 795 of the family's 1533-position model. The record is from RNAcentral.